AGUGAACGCUGGCGGUAGGCCUAACACAUGCAAGUCGAACGGCAGCACAGUAAGAGCUUGCUCUUACGGGUGGCGAGUGGCGGACGGGUGAGGAAUACAUCGGAAUCUACUUUUUCGUGGGGGAUAACGUAGGGAAACUUACGCUAAUACCGCAUACGACCUACGGGUGAAAGCAGGGGAUCUUCGGACCUUGCGCGAUUGAAUGAGCCGAUGUCGGAUUAGCUAGUUGGCGGGGUAAAGGCCCACCAAGGCGACGAUCCGUAGCUGGUCUGAGAGGAUGAUCAGCAACACUGGAACUGAGACACGGUCCAGACUCCUACGGGAGGCAGCAGUGGGGAAUAUUGGACAAUGGGCGCAAGCCUGAUCCAGCCAUACCGCGUGGGUGAAGAAGGCCUUCGGGUUGUAAAGCCCUUUUGUUGGGAAAGAAAAGCAGCAGGUUAAUACCCCGCUGUUCUGACGGUACCCAAAGAAUAAGCACCGGCUAAUUUCGUG
This 492-nucleotide ribosomal RNA is filed under the name uncultured bacterium. RNAcentral's name for it is "partial 16S ribosomal RNA". It matches the Rfam family "Bacterial small subunit ribosomal RNA", at positions 29 to 507 of the family's 1533-position model. The record is from RNAcentral.